Molecule: ribosomal RNA, 468 nt
Filed under: uncultured bacterium
Lineage: Bacteria
Description: partial 16S ribosomal RNA
Rfam family: Bacterial small subunit ribosomal RNA
Source: RNAcentral
GACGAACGCUGGCGGCGUGCUUAACACAUGCAAGUCGAACGGAAAGGCCCUGCUUUUGUGGGGUGCUCGAGUGGCGAACGGGUGAGUAACACGUGAGUAACCUGCCCUUGACUUUGGGAUAACUUCAGGAAACUGGGGCUAAUACCGGAUAGGAGCUCCUGCUGCAUGGUGGGGGUUGGAAAGUUUCGGCGGUUGGGGAUGGACUCGCGGCUUAUCAGCUUGUUGGUGGGGUAGUGGCUUACCAAGGCUUUGACGGGUAGCCGGCCUGAGAGGGUGACCGGCCACAUUGGGACUGAGGUACGGCCCAGACUCCUACGGGAGGCAGCAGUGGGGAAUAUUGCAAAAUGGGCGGAAGCCUGAUGCAGCAACGCCGCGUGCGGGAUGACGGCUUUCGGGUUGUAAACCGCUUUCGCCUGUGACGAAGCGUGAGUGACGGUAAUGGGUAAAGAAGCACCGGCUAACUACGUG